Long non-coding RNA from Arabidopsis lyrata subsp. lyrata, 490 nucleotides. RefSeq lists it as uncharacterized. The transcript has 4 exons. NCBI's taxonomy places the organism in Eukaryota, Viridiplantae, Streptophyta, Magnoliopsida, Brassicales, Brassicaceae. The record is from RefSeq and is a predicted model, not a curated record.
GGAAGCCGAGUGGUUUCCAGAGAAGCACCACCUACUUGCCAUGCCGCUCGCUAGGACGCGAGAUAUAUUAUAUAUAAGAGUAAGGGUCAGAGGAGUGUUUGAUUAUGUAUCCCUGGUCUGGCUGGUCUAAAAAUUGAAAACUAGGAGGCCGAAAGGAUCUGCCAUUACUACCCACCACCAGUUCUUUUAGGUAAACGACACCCGGAAGAUGAUUUGGAGACCAAACAGAUUCUCAAGAAACAUAAGGAAACAUCCGAGGAUAAGGAGGAGACAACCAAAGGAUUUGCUGAUGAUAAUCUCCAGCACAAGUCUGAUCAGGAAGCUGCCGUACUAAAAAAUACGCUCUUUAUUGCCAAUCUCUCUCCCCAAACUAUAAUAUCAGAUAUGUAAGUAGCAUCACCAUUAAAUUCCGCUUUCCUUCUCUGAGCAUGACUGAUAUAUUUUACCCUCCACUUUUACAGAAUCGAUUUCUUCAAAGAUGUUGUACAAG